RNAcentral lists this ribosomal RNA (253 nucleotides) under uncultured bacterium. RNAcentral describes it as "partial 16S ribosomal RNA". It matches the Rfam family "Bacterial small subunit ribosomal RNA", at positions 524 to 776 of the family's 1533-position model. The record is from RNAcentral.
UACGGAGGGGGCUAGCGUUGUUCGGAAUUACUGGGCGUAAAGCGCACGCAGGCGGUCUUUCGCGUUUUGAGUGACAGGUGGGGGCUUAACUCCCACAGGCCUCAGAAGACGGGAAGACUUGAGGGCUUCAGAGGGACGCGGAAUUCCAGGUGGAGCGGUGAAAUGCGUAGAGAUCUGGAAGAACACCGGUGGCGAAGGCGCUCUGCUAGGCCGCAACUGACACUGAGGGACGAAAGCUAGGGGAGCGAAUGGG